This 497-nucleotide ribosomal RNA is filed under the name uncultured bacterium. RNAcentral's name for it is "partial 16S ribosomal RNA". It matches the Rfam family "Bacterial small subunit ribosomal RNA", at positions 28 to 507 of the family's 1533-position model. The record is from RNAcentral.
GAUGAACGCUGGCGGCGUGCCUAAUACAUGCAAGUCGAGCGAACAGACGAGGAGCUUGCUUCUCUGACGUUAGCGGCGGACGGGUGAGUAACACGUGGAUAACCUACCUAUAAGACUGGGAUAACUUCGGGAAACCGGAGCUAAUACCGGAUAAUAUAUUGAACCGCAUGGUUCAAUAGUGAAAGACGGUUUUGCUGUCACUUAUAGAUGGAUCUGCGCUGCAUUAGCUAGUUGGUAAGGUAACGGCUUACCAAGGCAACGAUGCGUAGCCGACCUGAGAGGGUGAUCGGCCACACGGGAACUGAGACACGGUCCAGACUCCUACGGGAGGCAGCAGUAGGGAAUCUUCCGCAAUGGGCGAAAGCCUGACGGAGCAACGCCGCGUGAGUGAUGAAGGUCUUCGGAUCGUAAAACUCUGUUAUUAGGGAAGAACAAAUGUGUAAGUAACUAUGCACGUCUUGACGGUACCUAAUCAGAAAGCCACGGCUAACUACGUG